CAAGCUCGCUUCUAUGGGUCUGA
This 23-nucleotide microRNA is filed under the name Gallus gallus (chicken). RNAcentral describes it as "microRNA Ros-gga". The record is from RNAcentral. RNAcentral also lists the same sequence under 1 other name. Lineage: Eukaryota; Metazoa; Chordata; Aves; Galliformes; Phasianidae.